Molecule: small RNA, 29 nt
Filed under: Bombyx mori (domestic silkworm)
Lineage: Eukaryota; Metazoa; Arthropoda; Insecta; Lepidoptera; Bombycidae
Description: ovarian small RNA-28735
Source: RNAcentral
UCGCCUCAUGGGCGAGGGGCGGCCUCGUA